ACUGGCUUCCUUUCCUCCUUCUCAUGUUAUUCCAGAAGUGGGGCUCGGCGGCAGCUGAAGCAUUUCCACGGUGUUUGAAGAGGAGCGGUGCCUGCCCUCCCUCUCCGGUGGGAACUGCUUGCGUGGGCAUAUUUUGCAUGCAUGCCCUGCCGAGCUGCUCUGAAUUCUUGUUCCUGGACAUGGCAAAGCCCAGCUUCCCUUCUGCCCUCCCCCCUGCCAGUUUUUUUCCUAAACGUUAAGAUAACGCUUUCAAACUUACAUUUUUUUUUUAAAGCUAUCCCAAUGCGAUGUUUAAGGUUAGAAGGGGGUUUCUUUGCCCCUGUACCUCUGCAUUGGUACGUUGGCUGCGGUUUUGAUUGCUUAGCCCUGCUGUGUGUAAGGAAGCGAGGCUUGUCUCCCAGGAUAAUUCCGGCAGCUGCUGGUAACUUGCGAGCAGGUUCAGGGCAGAGCCAAUAGCUGCAGGCGCAGGGAGCGUUAUUUUUUGUGAAAGCCCGUAUCUGGUUAGAAAAAGGAGAAAUGAUCCAGGCCCAGGAGGCUGCCGGCACCCCUAGAAAGGAGCAGGAACCAGGGCCGGCGGUUGUGCUUCUUGCAAAACAGCCCCUCUCUCCCCACGGAGCAGAAAUGCGGUUGUCCGUCCGUAACGGCAGUUUGCUUUCUAGCCCGCGCUCUGCAGACCCUCUGACGGGGACCAGAAGCACCAAGCCCACCCGCUCCGCUUCUGCUGGGACCGCGGGCUGCCCAGCCAGCGUCCCCAUCCCACGGGAGCUGAGUAAUGCCCCUGGCAGCCCGUGCUGACCCCGUGCUGUGACUGGCGUGACGCCGCAGUUCCCAACCGGGCAACUAAAUGGCCGAGUCAGGCGCAUGUGACUGCUGUUGAGAAAUCAUCUGCUGGUGAACCUGGAGGAAACCACUUCCCCGAGCUGCUGGGGAAAACCGCCCUGCGUGGCCGGGGGUCUCAGCCCCCCCCAGGCCCCUCUGCUGCUGGCUCGGCUCCGGAGAAGCUACGGGUAUUCCCUGUCCCCUCCAAAAGCGCCGUGCUGGUGCCUAAACCGAGUCUUGCCAGAGGCUAACACUGUGUGUGGAAACCUUCAAGUCCUUUCCUACAGCUCCGUCCGCCGUAGGAGGAGGAGAAAAGUAGGAUCUGAAACUCAGGUUGAAAAACAUAGCUUAAAAAAAGCAGGGGAAACCAGCCUCCCUUGGUUUGUUGUUGGUUUUUUUUUUUUUUUUUCCUCCAGCUUCGCUUGCAUUAAAACUAAGCACUGCCCUGGAG
Molecule: long non-coding RNA, 1270 nt
Organism: Aquila chrysaetos chrysaetos
Lineage: Eukaryota; Metazoa; Chordata; Aves; Accipitriformes; Accipitridae
Exons: 2
Source: RefSeq, a predicted model, not a curated record